AGUGAACGCUGGCGGCAGGCCUAACACAUGCAAGUCGAGCGGCAGCGGGUCCUUCGGGAUGCCGGCGAGCGGCGGACGGGUGAGGAAUGCAUCGGAAUCUGCCCUGUCGUGGGGGAUAACCUAGGGAAACUUAGGCUAAUACCGCAUACGACCCACGGGUGAAAGCGGGGGAUCGCAAGACCUCGCGCGAUAGGAUGAGCCGAUGUCCGAUUAGCUAGUUGGCGGGGUAAAGGCCUACCAAGGCGACGAUCGGUAGCUGGUCUGAGAGGAUGAUCUGCCACACUGGGACUGAGACACGGCCCAGACUCCUACGGGAGGCAGCAGUGGGGAAUAUUGGACAAAGGGCGCAAGCCUGAUCCAGCCAUGCCGCGUGGGUGAAGAAGGCCUUCGGGUUGUAAAGCCCUUUUGUCCGGGAAGAAAACGUCUGGGCUAAUACCCCGGGCGGAUGACGGUACCGGAAGAAUAAGCACCGGCUAACUUCGUG
RNAcentral lists this ribosomal RNA (484 nucleotides) under uncultured bacterium. RNAcentral describes it as "partial 16S ribosomal RNA". It matches the Rfam family "Bacterial small subunit ribosomal RNA", at positions 30 to 507 of the family's 1533-position model. The record is from RNAcentral.